AACAAACGCUGGCGGCGCGUUUUAAGCAUGCAAGUCGGACGGCAAGAGUUGUAGCAAUAUGGCUCCUAGAGUGGCGAACGGGUGAGUAACACGUAGGUGAUCUACCUUUGGAUGGGGGAUAGUCCGUGGAAACACGGGGUAAUACCGCAUGAGGCCUUGUGGGUAAAGCCAUGAGGUGAAAGGUGCAAUUGCACCGUCUGGGGAUGAGCCUGCGGUCCAUUAGCUAGUUGGCGGGGUAAGAGCCCACCAAGGCUACGAUGGAUAGCCGGCCUGAGAGGGUGUACGGCCACACUGGGACUGAGACACGGCCCAGACUCCUACGGGAGGCUG
This 330-nucleotide ribosomal RNA is filed under the name uncultured Spirochaetota bacterium. RNAcentral describes it as "bacterial SSU rRNA". It matches the Rfam family "Bacterial small subunit ribosomal RNA", at positions 29 to 351 of the family's 1533-position model. Lineage: Bacteria; Pseudomonadati; Spirochaetota. The record is from RNAcentral.